This 1140-nucleotide long non-coding RNA is filed under the name Ananas comosus (pineapple). RNAcentral describes it as "long non-coding RNA (ACOM_LNC026454)". Lineage: Eukaryota; Viridiplantae; Streptophyta; Magnoliopsida; Poales; Bromeliaceae. The record is from RNAcentral.
UAGCCCCCGUUUGGUUCGGGGUUAAGAAAAAGUAGCUAUUUCAGGGAUAGGGUUAAGUUCAGGGUUAAAAUGGUGUUAAAAUUUUUUUGUGUUUGGUUGGAGGUUGGAGUUAGUUUAGGAUAGUGAAAAAAAGUGUUUGGUUGGAGUAGGUGGGAUAAGAAGAUAAUGAUUGAUAAAGAAGAAAAAGGUGAGAGCUCGGGAUGCGUGCGGGGUUAAAGUUGGGAGGGGGAGUGGGGUUAAUGAUUGAUAAAGAAAAAAAAUGUGAGGGCUCGGAAUGCGUGCGGGGUUAAAGUUGGGAGGGGGAGUGGGGUUAAUGAUUGAUAAAGAAAAAAAAUGUCAGGGCUCGGAAUGCGUGCGGAGUUAAAGUUGGGAGGGGGAGUGGGAUUAGUAAAUCCCACUAACCCGGUUUGGGAUGGGGUUUACUAACCCCACCCUAAAAGAAUAGUAUGUGGGUAUAAAUUGGGGAUUAAGGAGUUAUUCCACCCCUUAACCCCAACCAAACGGUGGCUUAGGAUUUUUGGGGUGAUCUUGGUCAAAUAUGACAGGUGAUAAGCUGAAAUCAUCCUGACAACUUUUCUUGGUAGUCAGAAGCUAUAAUUAUGAGGCUCAUGAGCCUCAGGUUUCUAUUGGCUGUUAAAACUUUUCUAUUUGCCAACUGUUAUAUCAAAAAUGACUAUAGCUAGUAGUAGAAAUAAAAAAAGAGCCAAAUAGGUUCUUUAUGUAGAAAUAAUAUAACAUCUUGAGUCAGCCGUGGGAUACUAUCGAUAACAUAAAGUAUUUGGUGCUAUCAAAUUUUUUACCGUAAAAUUUAUCACUUUUAUUAUUUUUAACCGUUCGAUUAUACUAAUCAACUAACCACCCACCCAUUCAAUCUUUAUUAGAGACCCACAUCAUUCUAACCACACAUUUUUUAAUCCAAAGUAGAAAACUUAAUAGCACCAAGUCAUUGGUGCUAUUAAUAGUAUUCCAACCUAGUUCUAACAUCUUUACUAUUAUCGCAUUAUCAAUCACAAUCUAUAUCACUUUUGCAUCAAUAAUUUGUCAACAGUUAGCCAACUAAAUUGGAUUAUGAAACUUGAUUGUAAUAAUUCAGAAAGUUUGAUGGAGAAGUUAUAAUAACUUAAAGUUUAAGUAGAAAAG